RNAcentral lists this transfer RNA (73 nucleotides) under Fejervarya limnocharis (Boie's wart frog). RNAcentral describes it as "partial tRNA-Val". It matches the Rfam family "tRNA". Rfam says of the family: Transfer RNA (tRNA) molecules are approximately 80 nucleotides in length. Their secondary structure includes four short double-helical elements and three loops (D, anti-codon, and T loops). The record is from RNAcentral. Lineage: Eukaryota; Metazoa; Chordata; Amphibia; Anura; Dicroglossidae.
ACAAAAUGUAGCUUAUUACAUAAAGCACCUCGCUUACACCGAGUAGAAGUCUGUUAAACCCGGACCAUUUUGA